GUGCACCAGUCGAGAAUCCUCCGCAAUACACGAAAGCGUGACGGGGCCAUCCCGAGUGCCGUCCGCUGAGGACGGCUUUUCCCCAGUGUACACAGCUGGGGAAUAAGGAGAGGGCAAGCCUGGUGUCAGCCGCCGCGGUAAAACCAGCUCCUCGAGUGGUCGGGGUGAUUGGGCCUAAAGCGUCCGUAGCCGGCCCCGUAAGUCCUCGGUUAAAUCCUACGGGCCUAACCGUGGGACUGCCGAGGAUACUGCGGGGCUUGGGGGCGGGAGAGGCCGGGGGUACUCCCGGGGUAGGGGGUGGAAAUCCUGUAAUCCCGGGGGGACCGACCAGUGGCGAAGGCGCCCGGCUGGAACGCGCCCGACGGUGAGGGACGAAAGCCAGGGGAGCGAACCGGAUUAGAUACCCGGGUAGU
RNAcentral lists this ribosomal RNA (413 nucleotides) under uncultured microorganism. RNAcentral's name for it is "bacterial SSU rRNA". It matches the Rfam family "Archaeal small subunit ribosomal RNA", at positions 330 to 745 of the family's 1478-position model. The record is from RNAcentral.